CUCAGUUCGGAUUGUAGUCUGCAACUCGACUACAUGAAGCUGGAAUCGCUAGUAAUCGUAGAUCAGCAUGCUACGGUGAAUACGUUCCCGGGUCUUGUACACACCGCCCGUCACACCACGAGAGUUUGUAACACCCGAAGCCGGUGGAGUAACCUUUUAGGAGCUAGCCGUCGAAGGUGGGACAAAUGAUUGGGGUGAAGUCGUAACAAGGUAGCCGUAUCGGAAGGUGCGGCUGGAUCACCUCCUUU
This 248-nucleotide ribosomal RNA is filed under the name Staphylococcus aureus. RNAcentral's name for it is "partial 16S ribosomal RNA". It matches the Rfam family "Bacterial small subunit ribosomal RNA", at positions 1287 to 1533 of the family's 1533-position model. The record is from RNAcentral. Lineage: Bacteria; Bacillati; Bacillota; Bacilli; Caryophanales; Staphylococcaceae.